Molecule: ribosomal RNA, 253 nt
Filed under: uncultured bacterium
Lineage: Bacteria
Description: partial 16S ribosomal RNA
Rfam family: Bacterial small subunit ribosomal RNA
Source: RNAcentral
GACGAACCGUGCGAACGUUGUUCGGAAUCACUGGGCUUAAAGGGCGCGUAGGCGGGCCAUCAAGUCCGGGGUGAAAUACUCCGGCUUAACCGGAGAAUUGCCUUGGAUACUGGAGGUCUUGAGGGAAGUAGGGGUCUGCGGAACUUCCGGUGGAGCGGUGAAAUGUGUUGAUAUCGGAAGGAAUGCCGGGUGCGAAAGCGGCGGACUGGGCUUCUUCUGCCGCUGAGUCGCGAAAGCUAGGGGAGCAAACGGG